Molecule: unclassified non-coding RNA, 24 nt
Filed under: Mus musculus (house mouse)
Lineage: Eukaryota; Metazoa; Chordata; Mammalia; Rodentia; Muridae
Description: oocyte_clustered_small_RNA8557
Source: RNAcentral
UCUUGGUCAUGAUGUUUGUUGCAG